AUUGAACGCUGGCGGCAUGCUUUACACAUGCAAGUCGGACGGCAGCACAGAGAAGCUUGCUUCUUGGGUGGCGAGUGGCGAACGGGUGAGUAAUAUAUCGGAACGUACCGAGUAAUGGGGGAUAACUAAUCGAAAGAUUAGCUAAUACCGCAUAUUCUCUGAGGAGGAAAGCAGGGGACCUUCGGGCCUUGCGUUAUUCGAGCGGCCGAUAUCUGAUUAGCUAGUUGGUGGGGUAAAGGCCUACCAAGGCGACGAUCAGUAGCGGGUCUGAGAGGAUGAUCCGCCACACUGGGACUGGGACACGGCCCAGACUCCUACGGGAGGCAGCAGUGGGGAAUUUUGGACAAUGGGCGCAAGCCUGAUCCAGCCAUGCCGCGUGUCUGAAGAGGGCCUUCGGGUUGUAAAGGACUUUUGUCAGGGAAGAAAAGGCUGUUGCUAAUACCGACAGCUGAUGACGGUACCUGAAGAAUAAGCACCGGCUAACUACGUG
RNAcentral lists this ribosomal RNA (490 nucleotides) under uncultured bacterium. RNAcentral describes it as "partial 16S ribosomal RNA". It matches the Rfam family "Bacterial small subunit ribosomal RNA", at positions 30 to 507 of the family's 1533-position model. The record is from RNAcentral.